RNAcentral lists this long non-coding RNA (2407 nucleotides) under Aplysia californica (California sea hare). RNAcentral's name for it is "uncharacterized LOC118477528". The record is from RNAcentral. Lineage: Eukaryota; Metazoa; Mollusca; Gastropoda; Aplysiida; Aplysiidae.
UCCUUCCUCAACAACCCCCCCCCCCCCGCCCCCUGACAUUGCUACCCUCCUUCAACUUUCUCCAACAUACUGAACUGAACGUGACCAAGGGAAAAGUUCUUCAUCAGCUGUUAACAGUUUCAGUUUGGGUAAUUUUGUUGUUUCUUUGAGGUUGAGUCUCCUUCUUUUGUCUCAGAUUUAUUUUUGGUUUGUUUCUGUUCUGUUUUAAAAAAUUCUUUUUUCUAAUUAAAUGUAGGGUAUCACAAAUUUAGACACACACACUUGAUAUGUUUUUGUUGCAUUCGAUGACCAUUCAUUAGAUAAAAGUUGCACCUUUUUGUUUCACAGAACUUUCCUAACAUUGCUUGUGUUCCAUAAGUUGUUGAUGAUAACAAGAAGCAAAAGUGGUGAAUGUGUGAGUGAAGUGGUCCUUGUAUUUCUGUGUGCAUCUAAAAGACUACAAGUAAGUGAUGGGCUUUUCUGUAGCUCUUCAUGUCUGUGUCGUGUUCUAAUAAAAUGAGAGCAUAAAAAAAAGAACAGGUCUGCACAAGGGAAAUCCAGUGUUGAAUAAGGGUGCCACUUUUUGUCAAAUUUUUUUUCUGAAAUCUGUGGUAUCUUAGUUCCACUGGAACAAUGUAAUUGGGAAGAUAUCUCGCGUCACCUUUUAAGAAAACAAGAAAGAGGAGGAAAAUGUCUUUGUAGGUUCGGGUUAUACACCGUAGUCACUGAUGUCCGGGAUGAUUUUAUUCCUUCAAGCUCAAAUAUUUUCUGCUGUGGUUUCGUUGUUGUUGUCAGUAGUUUUAUUUUGGAGAAUUAAUCAAGCUGUAUUUUUAAGAUGUAGUUCUAAUCUCUUAAAGCAACAACUGCCAAUGAUUAUGCUUACAUAAUGCUUUAACUACGUGUAGCUAUGGGACGAAAUGUAUGUCGUGAAUCUUUUUACUUUUCUUUACACUUACGACCUAACCCCUCCUCUAAGAAGCACUUUGAAAUGCUAUGGGGAUUUUGGCGCAUUUUGUUGUGUGGAAAUUAUUUCAAAGUCUCUAUUCUAUUGCACAAAGGUAUAUUUUUUAUUUCAAAGUGACUUAAUAAGAUUCACCUCAUCACUGCCUUGUUCUAUGCCCACAUCUCUCUUGAGAAGUGGCAUAAAAAAAAAAAAGAUAAUAAUGCAUCAAACGUCGUAGUUCGAUUCAAAUUUGUGUAAGUCAUGUAAAGGGCAGUUUCCCGGGUUCCUGUAGACCAAUUAGAAAAGACUUUGGAACAGUCUGUAGGCUUGUUCAUAGAUUGACUAAAAAAUAAUACUUACUGUCAGAAGAGCAUCAGGUAGGGUGCAUUAGUUCUUAUAGUAAUGGAAGUUUCUUUUCUGAGCGAGUUUAUUUCAAAUGGAGGGGAAUCUCAUACGUAGUCGUCAUACAUAGUAAUUUCACCACAACAACAGGGUAUAGGGUAGGGAGGGUGUGAUGAAGCUCACGGUGAGCUGAGGCAUAGUGGACCUAUUCUGUCUUGUAUGUUGGUUUUCUGUGCAGUACUAGGUCAUGUAGUGAAAUGUUUCCUCUAGAGACGCCCUGUGCAGUACUAGGUCAUGUAGUGAAAUGUUUCCUCUAGAGACGCCCUGUGCAGUACUAGGUCAUGUAGUGAAAUGUUUCCUCUAGAGACGCCCUGUGCAGUACUAGGUCAUGUAGUGAAAUGUUUCCUCUGGAGACGCCCUGUCAGCUGCUGCAAGCCCUAAUUUCUUUUGUUUUGGCAUUAUUAGUCUUAUUCAUGAUGAGUGUAUUUUAGAUUUUAACAAUUUGUUAAACAGUAUUAUUAACUUUUGUCCCUGUCGGGUAGCAUUUUUUUUUUUUUAAAAGAGAACUGCACUGAUGAUAGAUGGAGGGAUAAACUGGUCAUGGCCAAGUACAUAAUUUUAUGUUUUGUUGCAUCAAACCAUCACAUCCUUUUUUCAACGUGAAAACAAUUGUCAGUAACAGAUUAUAAUGUACAAAAUAAAAGAUGUUAUAAUUUAUUAAUUCAGCUCAAGGUCUAUGGCAAAUAUUGGUGAUGAGUUCGAGAUUUCAAUGAAUUCAUAUGCUGAGCAGUAAGGACUUGCAUUGAAAUGUUAGUAGGGUGAAUUAUCUCUUUAGAUACUAAUAUCAAAGGAUGACAAUUUUUAGGGAUUUUUCCAUAACUAGAAAAAAAUCGCAGAUGUUUAAAUGCUUCAGAAAAUAGAAAAUCAGUGUUGGGAUACUUUGAGUUUGGAUUAUCUUAAUCCCCAACGGAUAGGAAGAGCAGAGAUCAAACAGUGUCAAGCAGUAUGGUAAAUUAAAUUGUCUGUGAAUAACUGAGCUAGUGCACAUUAUUUCUUCGAGCUGUUUCCACAGUUUUCCAGAGUGUUUCUAUAGACUAUUUUGUUCUUGUAUUAAUCGAAAUUUAUUGUUUUUCUCACUUGUAG